GACGAACGCUGGCGGCGUGCCUAAUACAUGCAAGUCGAGCGGACUUUCAAGAAGCUUGCUUUUUGAAAGUUAGCGGCGGACGGGUGAGUAACACGUGGGCAACCUGCCUGCAAGACGGGGAUAACUCCGGGAAACCGGGGCUAAUACCGGAUAAUAUCUUCCUUCGCAUGAAGGAAGGUUGAAAGGCGGCGCAAGCUGCCGCUUGCAGAUGGUCCCGCGGCGCAUUAGCUAGUUGGUGAGGUAACGGCUCACCAAGGCGACGAUGCGUAGCCGACCGGAGAGGGUGAUCGGCCACACUGGGACUGAGACACGGCCCAGACUCCUACGGGAGGCAGCAGUAGGGAAUCGUCCGCAAUGGACGAAAGUCUGACGGAGCAACGCCGCGUGAGCGAAGAAGGUCUUCGGAUCGUAAAGCUCUGUUGUCAGGGAAGAACAAGUACCGUUCGAACAGGGCGGUACCUUGACGGUACCUGACCAGAAAGCCACGGCUAACUACGUG
RNAcentral lists this ribosomal RNA (499 nucleotides) under uncultured bacterium. RNAcentral describes it as "partial 16S ribosomal RNA". It matches the Rfam family "Bacterial small subunit ribosomal RNA", at positions 28 to 507 of the family's 1533-position model. The record is from RNAcentral.